Molecule: ribosomal RNA, 467 nt
Filed under: uncultured bacterium
Lineage: Bacteria
Description: partial 16S ribosomal RNA
Rfam family: Bacterial small subunit ribosomal RNA
Source: RNAcentral
GACGAACGCUGGCGGCGUGCUUAACACAUGCAAGUCGAACGGAAAGGCCCUGCUUUUGUGGGGUGCUCGAGUGGCGAACGGGUGAGUAACACGUGAGUAACCUGCCCUUGACUUUGGGAUAACUUCAGGAAACUGGGGCUAAUACCGGAUAGGAGCUCCUGCUGCAUGGUGGGGGUUGGAAAGUUUCGGCGGUUGGGGAUGGACUCGCGGCUUAUCAGCUUGUUGGUGGGGUAGUGGCUUACCAAGGCUUUGACGGGUAGCCGGCCUGAGAGGGUGACCGGCCACAUUGGGACUGAGAUACGGCCCAGACUCCUACGGGAGGCAGCAGAGGGGAAUAUUGCACAAUGGGCGGAAGCCUGAUGCAGCAACGCCGCGUGCGGGAUGACGGCCUUCGGGUUGUAAACCGCUUUCGCCUGUGACGAAGCGUGAGUGACGGUAAUGGGUAAAGAAGCACCGGCUAACUACGU